ACCGAACGCUGGCGGCAUGCCUAACACAUGCAAGUCGAACGAGACCUUCGGGUCUAGUGGCGCACGGGUGCGUAACGCGUGGGAACCUGCCCUUAGGUUCGGAAUAACUCCCCGAAAGGGGUGCUAAUACCGGAUAAUGUCUUCGGACCAAAGAUUUAUCGCCUUUGGAUGGGCCCGCGUUGGAUUAGCUAGUUGGUAGGGUAAAAGCCUACCAAGGCGACGAUCCAUAGCUGGUCUGAGAGGAUGAUCAGCCACACUGGGACUGAGACACGGCCCAGACUCCUACGGGAGGCAGCAGUGGGGAAUAUUGGACAAUGGGCGAAAGCCUGAUCCAGCAAUGCCGCGUGAGUGAUGAAGGCCUUGGGGUUGUAAAGCUCUUUUACCCGGGAUGAUAAUGACAGUACCGGGAGAAUAAGCUCCGGCUAACUCCGUG
RNAcentral lists this ribosomal RNA (433 nucleotides) under uncultured bacterium. Its description in RNAcentral is "partial 16S ribosomal RNA". It matches the Rfam family "Bacterial small subunit ribosomal RNA", at positions 30 to 507 of the family's 1533-position model. The record is from RNAcentral.